AUGAUUACAAGCACUAGAGCGAGCCGAAGGCAUCCGGCGUCAUCAACCCUUCCUCAUCGAAGUCGGACAAACCUUGUUGUAGUAGACAGUCGGAAAAUCAUUGUGCUAAGGCCGAACAAGACCAGCUCACCAAAACAUCAACCGCCGCCGAUGCAAAGAAGUGUAGAUCGAAAGGAUCCAACUUGUAGACACACGAUGACACAAGUGAAGACCGGAUUCAAGUGGAUCCACCGUAGACAAACACCAACCGAAUUUCGUGUGAUCCGUCGGAUACACAACUCCCACUAUGCUAGACGCGCUAGAACUUUGUAG
This 312-nucleotide ribosomal RNA is filed under the name Triticum aestivum (bread wheat). Its description in RNAcentral is "partial small subunit ribosomal RNA". Lineage: Eukaryota; Viridiplantae; Streptophyta; Magnoliopsida; Poales; Poaceae. The record is from RNAcentral.